CAGUCGCCGCGGUAAUACGUAGGGUGCAAGCGUUGUCCGGAAUCAUUGGGCGUAAAGCGCGCGUAGGUGGCCAUUUAAGUCCGCUGUGAAAGUCAAAGGCUCAACCUUUGAAAGCCGGUGGAUACUGGAUGGCUAGAGUACGGAAGAGGCGAGUGGAAUUCCUGGUGUAGCGGUGGAAUGCGCAGAUAUCAGGAGGAACACCAAUAGCGAAGGCAGCUCGCUGGGACGUUACUGACACUAAGGCGCGAAAGCGUGGGGAGCGAACAGGAUUAGAUACCCCUGUAGUCCCUGUCUCUUAUAC
Molecule: ribosomal RNA, 301 nt
Filed under: uncultured bacterium
Lineage: Bacteria
Description: partial 16S ribosomal RNA
Rfam family: Bacterial small subunit ribosomal RNA
Source: RNAcentral